This 415-nucleotide long non-coding RNA is filed under the name Marmota monax (woodchuck). The record is from RNAcentral. Lineage: Eukaryota; Metazoa; Chordata; Mammalia; Rodentia; Sciuridae.
GGGGUAUUUUUGCUGAUGAUGUCACCGGUGGUACAAUUUUUCAAAGGAGCCCUCAAUUGGCUUAAUGUCAUGGCAUUUUGCAUCCUCCUCUACUAGUGAUGGUCUAAAAUUUGGGGGCCAACAGAGGUGAGGCAAAGAACCUCACCCCCCCACAGGUGCAAAGGCCUAUCCACAAGUAUGGCUGUAUGCUGGACCGGUAGUCAGUGACGGGUAUGAUCCAAUUGCAGUGGUACCAACCUAAGACAGGAGGCUGACGCCUAGAGGUCAGUUCAUCCCAUGACGGGUAAGGACCAUAUGUUGAAUUGGACUGCCUAACAGGCACGGUCCCUAAGCCACAUGCUUGUUGUUUAAACAGAGAGGGGGAGAUGUUGAGAGCCACAGCCAAAGGGGCCCCAGCAAACUUCCAGCUGCCAGC